This is an RNA transcript of Dermochelys coriacea (leatherback sea turtle), 3187 nucleotides long. It is a transcript of the gene named serine active site containing 1, with no coding region annotated. The transcript has 20 exons. The record is from RefSeq and is a predicted model, not a curated record. Lineage: Eukaryota; Metazoa; Chordata; Testudines; Dermochelyidae.
CGUAAUGAGACAGGCCUGAAAAGAAUAUGAAGAGCAACUAGAAAAAAGAUUAAAACAAACAAAAAAUUUAAACGGCGACAGCAGCGGGAAGCCUGCCAAGCUGUCAGGGGGGGCCGCUGGAUGAUCCAGGUGCCGAGGGAGCACUCAAGGAAGACAAGGCUGUGGUGCAGAAGCUAAAUGAAGUUAUUGCAAUGGGCUCCCGGGGCGAUCUUGGCAAUUAGAGGCCGAAUGUCGUUGGCUGCUUAUUGUGUAUUUUGCUGCAGAAGAAUAGGAACUUCUGGUCCAAUCACAAAAAGUGAUCUGCUGUGGAAAGAUAUCAGAAAAAUUUCAAAAUUAACUGGAUCACUUAUUCUCGGAGGUUUCGUAUUUAUUACAUAUGAAGUUCUGGCCCUAAAGAAGUUACUGACACUCGAUACUCAAGUUGUACAGCAAGAGAAAAUGAAGUCCUAUAUUCAUGUACAUACAGUUUCUUUAGAUCCCAGUGAACGCCAAGGAAUCAUGUACAAGGCAAGAAAAGAACUUCAUAAAGUAGUGAGGAAAAUACUAGAAACUGAAGCUAAAAUUCUCCGGAGGCCUUUUGAUGAACAUUUUAGUACAUUUGUAGAAGAUCAUGAACGUGCCUUGUGGGUCCUCUUGAAGAGAAGUCAAUCAGAAGACAGAACCAUUCGACUGCAGGCGGUGCAGCAGCUGGCAGAGAAUGGUCACUGGCAUGAUUAUCAAUAUAGGAUGGUUGCCCAAGCCUGUGAUCAGAAGACUCUGAUUGGUUUGGCCCGAUCCAAGGAUAUUGAUCUUCGUUUUUUUCUGCCACCACCUCAUUUACCAAAAGUAAAAGAUGUCCCAAACGAUUUCUCAAUUUGGAAUGAAUUAGUCCAAAGGAAGAAAACAUUCUAUCUACACCUGCAGAAGAAGCUACUGCUGUUAAAAGAUUAUGCUGUAGAAGAUGAGCUCCGAUUGUUAUUGGUAUCUUUACCUCAGACUGAUCUUGAAAAAUGUGUCCAGUACUUCACAUCUCUGGCUUUAAGAGAGAGCAGUCAGACUCUAGCUGCACAAAGGGGGGGCUUGUGGUGUUUUGGAGGAAAUGGGCUUCCUUAUUGCGAGACUUUGAGUAAAGUCCCUUCAGAGACAGUAGAACUCUUCUGUUUACAAGCUUUAGUGCAACAUUCCAAGGUUUCUACUCAUUGUGAUAAAAUUGAAGCAAAUGGAGGCCUGCAGCUACUACAGAGAAUAUACCGGCUUCGUAACGAUUCUGCGAAAAUACAAAGGAACAUAAUUCGCAUCAUUGGCAAUAUGGCUUUGGAUGAACGUCUUCAUUCAUCUAUAGUACGUGCAGGUUGGGUUUCCAUACUAGCUGAAGCAAUGAAGUCUCCUCAUGUCAUUCAGUCUUCACAUGCAUCCAGAGCCCUGGCUAAUCUGGACAGAGAGACAGUGCUGGAAAAGUAUCCAGAUGGCGUAUAUGUUUUACAUCCACAGUACCGUAGCAGUCAGCCCAUUAAAGCAGACGUCCUUUUUAUUCAUGGUCUUUUGGGAGCAGCAUUUAAAACCUGGCGACAACAAGACAUUAAUCAGCCUUUGGAUGUAAAGGCUUCCGAAGGGGAAGAGAUUUACAGUGAAUGCUGGCCAAAGACAUGGCUAGCCUCAGACUGUCCUUCGCUUAGAAUUGUAUCUGUGGAGUAUGACACCCACCUGAGUGACUGGAAAACAAAGUGCCCUAUUGAGGACUACAGGAAAUCUAUUGCUUAUAGGAGCAAUGAGCUUCUUAACAAGCUUAGAGCUGCUGGUGUUGGAGACAGACCUCUGGUAUGGGUAUCACAUAGCAUGGGGGGUCUUCUAGUUAAAAAGAUGUUGGUGGGUGCUUCCAAGAACCCAGAAAUGGAUAAAAUUGUAAACAACACCCGAGGAAUUAUAUUUUAUAGUGUACCUCACCAUGGCUCCCAGCUGGCUGAAUACUCAAUGAAUGCUAAAUAUCUUCUCUUUCCUUCUGUGGAGGUUAAGGAACUCAGCACAGAUUCUCCUGCCCUUAAAGAACUGAAUGAUGACUUUCUUUCAUUUGCCAAGGAUAAGAAAUUUCCAGUCUUGAGUUUUGCAGAAACCUUACCAACGCAUAUAGGUAGCAUGGUAAAACUUCAUGUGGUACCUGUGGACUCAGCAAAUUUAGGCAUAGGAGACCUAAUUCCAGUAGAGGUUAAUCAUCUGAAUAUUUGCAAGCCAAAGAAAAAAGAUACUUUCCUUUACCAAUAUACUGUAAAGUUUAUUCAAGAUGCUUUAGCAAGAGAACUGGGAAGUUGAGUCUUGACCAUCCUUGCUUGCUUCUCUCUCCCAUUUAGUGUAAUGCAACAAAGUCUUUCCACUGAAACUGUUGGCAGGCCUCCAGAACUACAGACAUGAUAUUAAUAAUAAAAUCAGCUGUCCAAGUGGCUUUGAAUACAUCUUCUACUUGGAAAUCUACAUUGACUAUAUCUGAAAUGCAUUCAAAAUAUAUACAAACUCAACCACAGACCCAGAAAUCUGGCAAUAAAAGUGACCAAUCUCAUGCAGCUAUGCACCUCCAGGAAGUUUGGGCUCUGUGCAUUAUAGAGAAAGGAUCUCUACAGUUUCAAGGGUGGGUUUUUACUUCUGCUACUUUCUGAUCCCCGAGCCAAAGGGAGGGCUGAGACCUCUACUGGACCUUCAUUCGCGCAACAAAUUCAUCAAGCAAGAUUCUGUGUGGUUAUCGUAGCAUUGAUCCUCCCCUCCCUAGAUCACAAGAAUUCAGCAGUAGAGAUGAGACGGCUUGAGCGAGGCUGGAUAGUAAUAGAACUGAACUUGGCUGAUGUCCCAAAUAACCUAGGCAACUGAGAAGAGAAUUAAGCCAAUUAAAGAUUUGUAGAAAAGACAUUUAAUUGACAUUAUUUACAAUUUAAGCACAAAAAAGGUCUAGUUUAAAUAAAGACCCUGGAUUUUCCACAUUUGCUUUAAAAAGUUAGCAUCAUUUUAGUAAUUAUCUAUCCAAAAAGGGGCUUCAUUCCAUUUAUAAGUUAUUGAGCCUGAACUGAAACAUGCAUGUAAUAACUUUUAAUUGCCUGCUUUCCAUAGACCAUGUAAAUGCUUCAUAAAUUUAGCACAGGUAAUGUGUAGCUAGCGCACACUAAAAAGCCUCAUUUGAAAUCAAGGCUAUCUUCCCUUUAGCUAAAUCUUGGGUUGAGAAGCA